This 501-nucleotide ribosomal RNA is filed under the name uncultured bacterium. RNAcentral describes it as "partial 16S ribosomal RNA". It matches the Rfam family "Bacterial small subunit ribosomal RNA", at positions 30 to 523 of the family's 1533-position model. The record is from RNAcentral.
AUUGAACGCUGGCGGCAGGCUUAACACAUGCAAGUCGAGCGGAGAUGAGGUGCUUGCACCUUAUCUUAGCGGCGGACGGGUGAGUAGUGCUUAGGAAUCUGCCUAUUAGUGGGGGACAACAUUCCGAAAGGAAUGCUAAUACCGCAUACGGCCUACGGGAGAAAGCAGGGGAUCUUCGGACCUUGCGCUAAGAGAUGAGCCUAAGUCGGAUUAGCUAGUUGGUGGGGUAAAGGCCUACCAAGGCGACGAUCUGUAGCGGGUCUGAGAGGAUGAUCCGCCACACUGGAACUGAGACACGGCCCAGACUCCUACGGGAGGCAGCAGUGGGGAAUAUUGGACAAUGGGGGGAACCCUGAUCCAGCCAUGCCGCGUGUGUGAAGAAGGCCUUAUGGUUGUAAAGCACUUUAAGCGAGGAGGAGGCUACUGAGACUAAUACUCUUGGAUAGUGGACGUUACUCGCAGAAUAAGCACCGGCUAACUCUGUGCCAGCCGCCGCCGUAA